GAUGAACGCUGGCGGCGUGCCUAAUACAUGCAAGUCGAGCGAACAGACGAGGAGCUUGCUCCUCUGACGUUAGCGGCGGACGGGUGAGUAACACGUGGAUAACCUACCUAUAAGACUGGGAUAACUUCGGGAAACCGGAGCUAAUACCGGAUAAUAUAUUGAACCGCAUGGUUCAAUAGUGAAAGACGGUUUUGCUGUCACUUAUAGAUGGAUCCGCGCCGCUUUAGCUAGUUGGUCAGGUAAAGGCUUACGAAGGCAACGAUGCGUAGCCGACCUGAGAGGGUGGUCGGCCACACUGGAGCUGGGACGCGGUCCAGACUCCUACGGGAGGCAGCAGUAUGGAAUCUUCCGCAAUGGGCGAAAGCCUGACGGAGCGGCGCCGCGUGAGUGAUGAAGGUCUUCGGAUCGUAAAACUCUGUUAUUAGGGAAGAACAAAUGUGUAAGUAACUAUGCACGUCUUGACGGUACCUAGUCAGAAAGCCACGGCUAACUACGUG
This 497-nucleotide ribosomal RNA is filed under the name uncultured bacterium. RNAcentral's name for it is "partial 16S ribosomal RNA". It matches the Rfam family "Bacterial small subunit ribosomal RNA", at positions 28 to 507 of the family's 1533-position model. The record is from RNAcentral.